AUGAACGCUGGCGGCGUGCCUCAUACAUGCAAGUCGAACGAAACUUCUUUAUCACCGAGUGCUUGCACUCACCGAUAAAGAGUUGAGUGGCGAACGGGUGAGUAACACGUGGGCAACCUGCCCAAAAGAGGGGGAUAACACUUGGAAACAGGUGCUAAUACCGCAUAACCAUAGUUACCGCAUGGUAACUAUGUAAAAGGUGGCUAUACUACCGCUUUUGGAUGGGCCCGCGGCGCAUUAGCUAGUUGGUAGGGUAAAGGCUUACCAAGGCAAUGAUGCGUAGCCGAAUUGAGAGGUUGAUCGGCCACAUUGGGACUGAGACACGGCCCAAACUCCUACGGGAGGCAGCAGUAGGGAAUCUUCCACAAUGGGCGAAAGCCUGAUGGAGCAACGCCGCGUGGGUGAAGAAGGUCUUCGGAUCGUAAAACCCUGUUGUUAGAGAAGAAAGUGCGUGAGAGUAACUGUUCACGUUUCGACGGUAUCUAACCGGAAAGCCACGGCUAACUACGUG
This 511-nucleotide ribosomal RNA is filed under the name uncultured bacterium. RNAcentral describes it as "partial 16S ribosomal RNA". It matches the Rfam family "Bacterial small subunit ribosomal RNA", at positions 29 to 507 of the family's 1533-position model. The record is from RNAcentral.